Molecule: long non-coding RNA, 902 nt
Filed under: Coffea arabica (coffee)
Lineage: Eukaryota; Viridiplantae; Streptophyta; Magnoliopsida; Gentianales; Rubiaceae
Description: long non-coding RNA (CARA_LNC001042)
Source: RNAcentral
GGGAAAGGUGAGCUCAACAAACUCUCACCCACUGCUCCAAAGUGACUUGACAUUUCCAUGUUGGUUGGUAGAGCUAGUCAUUUACAUUGGAUACCUUGUGAAAAGAAGCGGGGUGACACAGUGCCUGUAAUUCGCCUCUACCGCUGCAUGCCUAAAAAGGACGCGAACAUGAAGAUGCCCACAUAGAUACACAUGUUCGGAAGGAAACAGAAUCUACCUACACCAGCACCACCUCCUUCUGAAAUCUACAACAACCAUUAUUGCCCAUAUAAAGACCCCACCACUUCUCACCAACAUGAUACUACAUCGUAUCGCAUCAAUUUCACAAACCAACAUGAUGAUACUACCUCAUAGCACUACCACGUCCACCUUCUGCAUUCCGACUUCCCAAUCUCUGGCACUUUUUCGCAUAGGAAACAGGAGACUAUCGUAGUGGGAUCCACUGACUAAUUUCACCUCGUAUCUGCUUGAAGCUAAAGCCUUCAUCCUCUACAUACUUUUUGGGAUAAAAUAAAAUCAUCCUAUGGCAAGGGAACCGGUCGACACCCAUAGUUGAAUCAUGAAUGGUCUAUUUUGGAGUGGUGCAACACCACUUCAAAAUGUUGCACCACCAUGGAAAUCUACAUCAACCAAAGGUAAAGAUGCAUUGAAGAUAACUACCUCGCGUCAUAUGGGUGAACCUCGAUGCUAAUGCUACAACCAAUCCCCGUUCCAAACACACUCCAAACGCAUAAACAAAAUCCAAGCUUCCAGCCCAAGUCGUUGAAAUUUACCCUUCGCUAGCAUUAUACUGACGAAGUCUUACCCACAGAUUGCAGCAAGUAGACGAAUCAAAUCUAAAAAGCAGUAGACAUUAUAAGGAGGCAGUGUCAGUGGCAGACAACACAAACAACCAGGAAAUU